AUGGCGCUCCUCCUCCGGCCGUCGCCUCCCCCACCCCAUCUCCGCCUUCUUCUCCGCCGCCUCCUCUCCAGCGCCCCUACCCCCUCCCGUCUGCUCCCGGUCCCCUCCCCCUCCGCUCGACACCUCUUCAGACCCAGGGUUGUGGCGGCGGUGGUCCCAGGGCGGAAUGGGGUCGCGGUGAGGGCUUUCAUGGCCUCCACGGUGGCAUCCGAUGCGAUGCAGGAGAAGCGGGUGGCCGGCGAGUACACCGCAGCAAACGUCCAGGUCUUAGAGGCAUUGGACGGAGUUCGCAAAAGGCCUGGUAUGUACAUUGGCAGCACAGGACCACGUGGGUUGCAUCAUCUGGUUGUUGAAAUAUUGGAUAAUGCUGUGGAUGAAGCUCAAGCAGGCUAUGCUACUGAGAUUAAUGUAGUCCUUCAUGAUGACAAUUCAGUUAGUGUAACUGACAAUGGCCGUGGGAUCCCUACAGAUAUACACCCGCAGACGAAGAAAUCAUGCGUGGAGACUGUCUUAACGCUAAUGCAUGCUGGUGGCAAAUUUGGAGGCUCAACGAGUAGCUACAGCGUUGCUGGAGGGCUGCAUGGUGUUGGCCUAUCAGUUGUUAAUGCGUUGUCAGAGGCACUAGAAGUUACAGUUUGCCGUGAUGGGAAGGAAUAUCGACAACGCUAUUCUCGUGGAAAACCACUUACAACGCUAAGUAGUACCACACUGCCUGAUGAAUCAAGUCGUCAAGGUUCAUGUAUCAGAUUUUGGCCUGACAAAGAAAUAUUUACAACUGCAAUUGAGUUUGACUUCAGCACGAUCUCUAGUUGCAUCCGGGAACUUGCAUUUUUAAAUCCUAAGCUGACAAUAACACUGACAAAGGAAGAACAGGAUGCACAGGUUCAACACAAUGAAUACUGUUAUGCUGGUGGCCUGGUUGAAUAUGUUGCCUGGUUGAAUACUGACAAGAAACCCCUCCACGACCCAAUAGCAUUCAGAAAGGAAUUGGAUGGAAUAGUUGUUGAUGUCUCCCUGCAAUGGUGCUCUGAUUCCUACUCUGAUACAGUGCUAGGAUAUGCCAACAGUAUCCGUACUAUUGAUGGUGGUACUCAUAUUGAGGGGCUGAAAACUUCCCUGACAAGAACAAUUAAUAGCUUUGCAAAGAAGUCGAAGAUUAUGAAGGAUAAAGACAUUAGCUUGAGUGGGGAGCAUGUAAGAGAAGGAGUGACAUGCAUUAUUUCAGUGAAGGUCCCUAAUCCAGAGUUUGAAGGGCAGACAAAGACCAGGCUGGGAAAUCCAGAAGUGCGAAGAAUAGUUGAACAAUCUGUUCAAGAAAAUCUAACUGAAUACUUGGAGUUACAUCCAGAUGUUUUAGAUUCAAUUCUGUCCAAGUCCCUUAAUGCUCUCAAGGCUGCAUUGGCAGCCAAGCGGGCUAGAGAGUUAGUGAGGACAAAGAGUGUCUUGAAAUCUUCUUCACUUCCUGGGAAACUUGCUGAUUGUGCAUCUUCUAACCCUGCAGAAUCUGAAAUCUUCAUAGUUGAAGGUGAUUCGGCUGGGGGUAGUGCAAAGCAAGGCCGGGAUAGGAAAUUUCAGGCCAUUUUGCCUCUGAGGGGCAAAAUUCUCAACAUUGAGAGGAGGGAUGAAGCAGCCAUGUACAAAAAUGAAGAGAUCCAAAAUCUUAUUCUUGGUCUUGGAUUAGGAGUGAAGGGUGAGGAUUUUAAGAAGGAAGCUCUUCGGUAUCAUAAGAUAGUUAUACUGACAGAUGCUGAUGUAGAUGGUGCACAUAUCCGGACUCUUCUCCUCACUUUCUUCUUUAGAUAUCAGAGAGCACUUUUCGAUGAAGGUUGCAUCUAUGUUGGUGUGCCUCCUCUUUACAAGGUUGAGCGUGGGAAACAAGUGCACUACUGCUAUGAUGAGGCUGAUCUUAAAGAGCUAGUCAACACCUUCCCUACAAAUGCUUCUUAUAAUACCCAGAGGUUCAAAGGUUUGGGCGAGAUGAUGCCCUUACAAUUGUGGGAAACAACAAUGGAUCCUGAAAGGAGGCUGUUGAAGCAGCUAACGGUCGAAGAUGCUGCAGAGGCCAAUGUUGUGUUCUCAUCUCUUAUGGGUGCUCGGGUUGAAUACAGGAAGGAACUAAUCCAGAAGGCCGCAAGCAUGGUCAACCUAGAUCACCUUGACAUCUGA
RNAcentral lists this ribosomal RNA (2166 nucleotides) under Triticum aestivum (bread wheat). Its description in RNAcentral is "partial small subunit ribosomal RNA". Lineage: Eukaryota; Viridiplantae; Streptophyta; Magnoliopsida; Poales; Poaceae. The record is from RNAcentral.